This 26-nucleotide non-coding RNA is filed under the name Mus musculus (house mouse). Lineage: Eukaryota; Metazoa; Chordata; Mammalia; Rodentia; Muridae. The record is from RNAcentral.
UCCUACAUUGGCUUCUCAGAGCUUGG